UUGUGUUUAGACCAAGGUGUAGGAUUUAGGGGUCAAUUUGGAAAUAGAAAUUGAAUGUAGUUCAGUGGCUGACAGGUGUCCUUAAUUAGCCAACGACAUUAGAAGGGUCUGGGAUUCCUUUAAAAGGAGCAACCAAACAUCUGGCAAAUAUAGUAAAAGGGAUAUUCUGGUAGGACAUAUGCCUACCAUUAGUUCUGAAUACUGGUGAGGUUUUGAGGGCAAAAUGGCCGUGAUGAUUGGAAUCGCUUUCAGGUAUGUUUUUAAGUAUUGAUUAAGUUUGUUUCCCUUGUCCUUCAGGUGUUACAGGUAGCAAUGUUUAUGACAUACAUUAUUUUUCCUUAAGCAUUUCUUGGCUUUGUUGCCUGCUAAUUGGAGGGAUAACGUGUUCUACAUCAGAAGGUGAUUGGUCUCCUGCACUGGAUUCUAAUGCAGCAUGGCUCUAUGCAGGAUCACUUCGGUCUCUAGGAUAUGGCAAUUAUAAAUCUCAAAUGCAAGCGCAACAGAAACAUCCGGCCGCCAUCCUGCGGAAGGAACUGGCCCCCAUGUCCCAGCAACCUCAGCAAGUGUGGUAUCCAGUUCAAUUGCCCCUGCAUCAGAAGCAACUGGCCGCAGAAACUCAGCAGCAGAGGCAACCGACAACUGUGCCCCAGCAAGUGUGGCAUCAAGCUCACAUGCUGACACAACCACCGACCGCCGUGCCCCAGCAAGUGUGGCAUCAAGCUCACAUGCUGACGCAUAAGCAACCGACCGCCGUGCCCCAGCAAGUGUGGCAUCAAGCUCACAUGCUGACGCAUAAGCAACCGACCGCCGUGCCCCAGCAAGUGUGGCAUCCUGCUCAAAAGCCCCUGCAGCAGAAGCAACUGGCCGCAGAAGCUCAGCAGCAGAGGCAACCGACCGCCGUGCCCCAGCAAGUGUGGCAUCAAGCUCACAUGCUGACGCAUAAGCAACCGACCACUGUGCCCCAGCAAGUGUGGCAUCCUCCUCAAAUGCUCCUGCAGCAGAAGCAACCGACCGCCGUGCCCCAGCAAGUGUGGCAUCCUCCUCAAAUGCCCCUGCAGCAGAAGCAACCGACCGCCGUGCCCCAGCAAGUAUGGCAUCCUUCUCAAAUGCCCCUGCAAACAACCGCUGUGCCCCAGCAAGUGUGGCAUCCUCCUCAAAUGCCCCUGCAGCAUAAUCAACCGACCGCUGUGCCCCAGCAAGUGUGGCAUCCUGCUCAAAAGCCCCUGCAGCAGAAGCAACCGACCGCCGUGCCCCAGCAAGUGUGGCAUCAAGCUCACAUGCUGACGCAUAAGCAACCGACCGCUGUGCCCCAGCAAGUGUGGCAUCCUCCUCAAAUGCCCCUGCAGCAGAAGCAACCGACCACCGUGCCCCAGCAAGUGUGGCUUCCUCCUCAAUUGCCCCUGCAGCAGAAGCAACCGACCGCUGUGCCCCAGCAAGUAUGGCAUCCUUCUCAAAUGCCACUGCAAACAACCGCUGUGCCCCAGGAAGUGUGGCAUCCUCCUCAAAUGCCCCUGCAGCAUAUUCAACCGAUCGGCGUGCCCCAGCAAGUGUGGCUUCCUCCUCAAAUGCCCUUGCAGCAGAAGCAACCGAGCGCCGUGCCCCAGCAAGUGUGGCAUCCUCCUCAAAUGCCCCUGCAGCAGAAGCAACCGACCGCCGUGCCCCAGCAAGUGUGGCUUCCUCCUCAAAUGCCCUUGCAGCAGAAGCAACCGAGCGCCGUGCCCCAGCAAGUGUGGCUUCCUCAAUUGCCCCUGCAGCAGAAGCAGCCGACCGCCGUGCCCCAGCAAGUGUGGCUUCCUCAAUUGCCCCUGCAGCAGAAGCAACCGACCGCCGUGCCCCAGCAAGUGUGGCAUCCAGCUCAAAUGCAGCAGAAGCAACAGACCAACGUGCCCCAGCAAGUGUGGCAUCCAGCUCAAAUGCAGCAGAAGCAACCGACUGCCCUGUGCCAGCAAGUGUGGCAUCCUCCUCAAAUGGCCCUGCAGCAGAAGCAACUGACCACCGUGCCCCAGCAAGUGUGGCAUCCAGCUCAACUGCUGCAGGGGCAUUUGAGGAUGCCACACUUGCUGGGGCACAGCGGUCGGUUGCUUCUGCUGCAUUUGAGCUGGAUGCCACACUUGCUGGGGCACGGUGGUCAGUUGCUUCUGCUGCAGGGGCAUUUGAGAAGGAUGCCACACUUGCUGGGGCACGGCGGUCGGUUGCUUCUGUUGCAGGGCCAUUUGAGGAGGAUGCCACACUUGCUGGGGCAUGGCGGUCGGUUGCUUCUGCUGCAGGGGCAUUUGAGGAGGAUGCCACACUUGCUGGGGCACGGCAGUCGGUUGCUUCUGCUGCAUUUGAGCUGGAUGCAACACUUGCUGGGGCAUGGUGGUCAGUUGCUUCUGCUGCAGUGCCAUUUGAGGAGGAUGCCACACUUGCUGGGGCAUGGCGGUCGGUUGCUUCUGCUGCAUUUGAGCUGGAUGCAACACUUGCUGGGGCAUGGUGGUCAGUUGCUUCUGCUGCAGUGCCAUUUGAGGAGGAUGCCACACUUGCUGGGGCAUGGCGGUCGGUUGCUUCUGCUGCAGGGGCAUUUGAGGAGGAUGCCACACUUGCUGGGGCACGGCAGUCGGUUGCUUCUGCUGCAUUUUAGCUGGAUGCCACACUUGCUGGGACACGGCGGUCGGUUGCUUCUGCUGCAGGGGCAUUUGAGGAAGCCACACUUGCUGGGGCACGGCGGUCGGUUGCUUCUGCUGCAGGGGCAUUUGAGGAGGAAGCCACACUUGCUGGGGCACGGCGGUCGGUUGCUUCUGCUGCAGGGCCAUUUGAGGAGGAUGCCACACUUGCCGGGGCACGGCAGUCGUUUGCUUCUGCUGCAUUUGAGCUGGAAGCCACACUUGCCUGGGCACGGCGCUCGGUUGCUUCUGCUUCAAAGGCAUUUGAGGAGGAAGCCACACUUCCUGGGGCACGGUCGUCAGUUGCUUCUGCUGCAGGGGCAUUUGAGGAGGAUGCCACCCUUGCUGGGGCACGGCGGUCGGUUGCUUCUGCUGCAGGGGCAUUUGAGGAGGAUGCCACACUUGCUGGGGCACGGCGGUCGGUUGCUUCUGCUGCAGGGGCAAUUGAGGAGGAUGCCACACUUGCUGGGGCACGGCGCUCGGUUGCUUCUGCUGCAAGGGCAUUUGAGGAGGAAGCCACACUUGCUGGGGCACGGUGGUCGGUUGCUUCUGCUGCAGGGGCAUUUGAGGAGGAUGCCACACUUGCUGGGGCACGGCGGUCGGUUGCUUCUGCUGCAGGGGCAAUUGAGGAGGAAGCCACACUUGCUGGGGCACGCCGGUCGGUUGAAUAUGCUGCAGGGGCAUUUGAGGAGGAUGCCACACUUGCUGGGGCACAGUGGUUGUUUGCAGUGGCAUUUGAGAAGGAUGCCAUACUUGCUGGGGCACGGCGGUUGGUUGCUUCUGCUGCAGGGCCAUUUGAGGAGGAUGCCACAAUUGCUGGGGCACGGCGGUCGUUUGCCUCUGCUGCAGGGCCAUUUGAGGAGGAUGCCACACUUGCUGGGGCACAGUUGUCGGUUGCCUCUGCUGCUGAGCUUCUGCGGCCAGUUGCUUCUGAUGCAGGGGCAUUUGAACUGGAUACCACACUUGCUGAGGUUGCAUGGGGGCCAGUUCCUUCCGCAGGAUGGCAGCCGGAUGUUUCUGUUGCGCUUGCAUUUGAGAUUUAUAAUUGCCAUAUCCUAGAGACCGAAGUGAUCCUGCAUAGAGCCAUGCUGCAUUAGAAUCCAGUGCAGGAGACCAAUCACCUAGGUUAAAAAUAUAAACUGUAAAAUGCCAGCAUUUGAAGGUUAUGGAACUGCAUAGCUGUUAUUUGAAAUGAACUCACCUUCUGAUGUAGAAAACGUUAACCCUCCAAUUAGCAGGCAACAAAGCCAAGAAACGCUUAAGGAAAAAUAAUGUAUGUCAUAAACAUAGCUACCUGUAACACCUGAAGGACAAGGGAAACAAACUUAAUCAAUACUUAAAAACAUACCUGAAAGCGAUUCCAAUCACCACGGCCAUUUCGCCCUCAAAACCUCACCAGUAUUCAGAACUAAUGGUAGGCAUACGUCCUACCAGAAUAUCCCUUUUACUAUAUUUGCCAGAUGUUUGGUUGCUCCUUUUAAAGGAAUCCCAGACCCUUCUAAUGUCGUUGGCUAAUUAAGGACAGCUGUCAGCCACUGAA
Molecule: long non-coding RNA, 4182 nt
Filed under: Oncorhynchus kisutch (coho salmon)
Lineage: Eukaryota; Metazoa; Chordata; Actinopteri; Salmoniformes; Salmonidae
Description: lncRNA (ENSOKIG00005037329.1)
Source: RNAcentral